RNAcentral lists this ribosomal RNA (496 nucleotides) under uncultured bacterium. Its description in RNAcentral is "partial 16S ribosomal RNA". It matches the Rfam family "Bacterial small subunit ribosomal RNA", at positions 28 to 507 of the family's 1533-position model. The record is from RNAcentral.
GAUGAACGCUGGCGGCGUGCCUAAUACAUGCAAGUCGAGCGAACGGACGAGAAGCUUGCUUCUCUGAUGUUAGCGGCGGACGGGUGAGUAACACGUGGAUAACCUACCUAUAAGACUGGGAUAACUUCGGGAAACCGGAGCUAAUACCGGAUGAUAUUUUGAACCGCAUGGUUCAAAAGUGAAAGACGGUCUUGCUGUCACUUAUAGAUGGAUCCGCGCUGCAUUAGCUAGUUGGUAGGGUAAUGGCUUACCAAGGCAACGAUGCAUAGCCGACCUGAGAGGUUGAUGGGCAAACUGGGACUGGGAAAAGGUUCCAGCCCCCAAGGGGGGCAGGCGGAGGGAAACUUUCGGAAAGGGGCGAAGGCCUGACGAGGAAACGCGGGGGGGGUAUGAAGGGUCUUCGAUUGGAAAAAUCCUUUAAUAGGGAAGAAACUAAGUGUAAGUAACUGUGCACAUCUUGACGGUACCUAAUCAGAAAGCCACGGCUAACUACGUG